Molecule: long non-coding RNA, 341 nt
Filed under: Gossypium barbadense (sea-island cotton)
Lineage: Eukaryota; Viridiplantae; Streptophyta; Magnoliopsida; Malvales; Malvaceae
Description: long non-coding RNA (GBAR_LNC000196)
Source: RNAcentral
AUUUUAUGUUUUGGCAUAAAAUUGGCUGAAAUGUUGGUGCAUAUAUGCUUGAUUCUUUUCUUGUAGGUUGACCCAAAUUUGGGGUGGCAAUUUGGUUAUUUAAAUGGCCUAUUUUUAUCUACACGGGCAGAGACACGGACGUGUGUCUCAGCCGUGUGUGACACACGACUGUGUUGUACGAUCGUGUGUCCCUUGGGGUACCCUACAAUUGUAAGUCAGGCUCGAACAAGGCCAAAGCACAUGGGCGUGUGGCUAGCCGUGUGGCCCAAGUCAGGCUCAACCACGGCCAAAGCACACGGGCGUGUCUUGUAGCCGUGUGAGCAAGUUAGUAGCUAUGCCCU